This 448-nucleotide ribosomal RNA is filed under the name uncultured bacterium. Its description in RNAcentral is "bacterial SSU rRNA". It matches the Rfam family "Bacterial small subunit ribosomal RNA", at positions 29 to 524 of the family's 1533-position model. The record is from RNAcentral.
AACGAACGCUGGCGGCAGGCCUAACACAUGCAAGUCGAACGCCCCGCAAGGGGAGUGGCAGACGGGUGAGUAACGCGUGGGAACGUACCCUUCGGUUCGGGAUAACUCAGGGAAACUUGAGCUAAUACCGGAUACGUCCGAGAGGAGAAAGAUUUAUCGCCGAGGGAUCGGCCCGCGUCUGAUUAGCUUGUUGGUGAGGUAACGGCUCACCAAGGCGACGAUCAGUAGCUGGUCUGAGAGGAUGAUCAGCCACAUUGGGACUGAGACACGGCCAAACUCCUACGGGAGGCAGCAGUGGGGAAUAUUGGACAAUGGGCGGCAAGCCUGAUCCAGCCAUGCCGCGUGAGUGAUGAAGGCCCUAGGGUUGUAAAGCUCUUUUACCCGGGAAGAUAAUGACUGUACCGGGAGAAUAAGCCCCGGCUAACUUCGUGCCAGCAGCCGCCGUAAC